RNAcentral lists this long non-coding RNA (3379 nucleotides) under Equus caballus (horse). RNAcentral's name for it is "lncRNA (ENSECAG00000054766.1)". Lineage: Eukaryota; Metazoa; Chordata; Mammalia; Perissodactyla; Equidae. The record is from RNAcentral.
GCUCCCACUGUCCCCUCCGUGGAACGGGGGGCCGGUCACCCACCCAGACUUCCCCCGGGGCCAUGCAUUCCAGACCGCGGCGGGCUGUGGGGCCGCGGCGGCUGGGUCUCAAGAAGUUCAUUCAUUCAUUCCACUCAUUCAUUCUUGUCUCCAAGAGCGUGCCCUCCGAGGGGGCUCCUGAGGCUGCUGGGGUCGGAGUGGGCGGGUGUGCUGGCGGUCAGCGGCCUCACACAGGGGGCCUCUCCGUGUCCGGGCCUCAGUUUCCUCACCGUGAGGUGGCUGAACGGCUGGGUUAGACCACCGUGGACCGGAGUUGUCCCAGUUCUGUGCCCCGUGAUCUUACGUGGCUCAGAGAUGGCGAUUCAGGAGCUCGUUUUCAUCUGAGAGUUUGUGGUUUUAGCUCAUUUAGUCUUCGGUCCACUUUGAGCUGAUUUCUGUGUACGGAGCAGGGAAGGGCCGACCCUCAUUCCCUCCCACGUGGGUGUCCGGUCGUCCGUUUGUUGAAUGACUAUUUUCCUCCCACCGAAUGGUCUUGACGCCCUUGUCGAAAUCAGUUGGCUGUGGACGUGAGGGUUUCUUUCUAGACCCUCCUUUCCGUUCCGUCAGUCUGUCUGUCUGUCCUGUGUGGUCGCCUCGCGGCUCCACCCCCAGCGUUUGUCGUGGGUUUGAAAUCAGGAGCUGCCAGUCCCCUGAUGCUUUGUCAACAUAAUUUUGUCUAUUUUGGGUCUGUUGUCUCUCCAACUGAAUUUUAGGAUCAGCUGGUCAAUUUCUGCCCAAAAGCCAGCUGGGAUUUUUCACCGAGAUUGUGCGGGAUCUGCAGACCCGUGUGGCGGGUUUCCCACCUGGACGCCGCGUCACCGGUUCACGAACCCGGGUCGUCUUAGCCUUUAUCGAAGGUCUUCGAUUUCUUUCAGUGACGUUUCCGUGACUCUCAAUGUGCGAGUCUUAACUUCAGGUGCUUUUGUGAAAUCCACUCCCCAGCAGUUUUUUCUUUUUGACCCGAUUGUAAAUGGAAUCGUUUUCUUGAUAUAGUUUUGGGAUCGUUUGUCGCUGCCGCGUAUUGAUCAACGUACGGUCGGCUUUGUGCUUUGAUCUUGUGUCCUGCGACCUCGUCGGCUGUUUCUUAGCUCUGGGAUUUGCAUAUGUGUGUGGAUUCCUUGGCUUUUUCUACACACAAGUCCUGUCAGCUUCAAGUAGGAGUUUACUUUUUCCUUCUCGAUCUGUAGUUUUAUUUCUUUUUCUUGCCUAAUUGCCCCGGCUCGAACCUCCAGCUCGACGUUGACCAGAAGCGGGAGAGCAGACACUGCCGUCUUGCUUCUGAUCCUGGGCAAGAGUUUUACAUCUUUCGUCAUUAAAUACGGCGCUGGCUGUGGGCCCUACGUCUGUGUCCUUUACCAGGGUGAGAAGUCCCUGUGUCUCUAGUUUGUUGACUGCUUUUUAUUUUAUUUUUUUUUGAGGAAGAUUAGCCCUGAGCUAGCUGCUGCCAAUUCUCCUCUUUUUUGCUGAGGAAGACUGGCCCUGAGCUGACAUCCGUGCCCAUCUUCCUCUACUUUAUAUGUGGGACGUCUACCACAGCAUGGCUUGCCAAGUGGUGCCAUGUCCACACCCGGGAUCUGAACCGGUGAACCCUGGGCCACCGAAGCAGAACUUGCGAACUUAACCACUGCACCACCGGGCCGGCCUCUCUAAUUUCUUGGCAUACAGUUGUCACAAGUCUUUUGUUAUAGUCCUUUUUAUUUCUGUAAGGUUAGUGCUAAUCUUGGUAAUUAUCUCAGUAAAGUCUUAGUAAUCAAAGAUUGAGUCUUCCCUCUUUUUCUCUCCAUCUGUGUAGCUAAAGGUUCAUCAGUUUUGUUGAUCUUUUCAAAGAAGCAACUUUUGGCUUUCUUAAGACUUUCUAUCGUUUUCUAGUCUCUGCUUUAUUCAUCCCCCUCUAAUCUUUAUGAUUUCUUUCCUCAGCUUAUUUUGGGUCCAGUUUGCCCUUCUUGUUCCAGCUUCUUAAGACCCAAAGUCAAGUUAUUGAUUUGAGAUCCUUCCUUUUUUAUGACACGGGAGUUUGCAGCAAUGAGUUUCCCUCUGAGCACUGCUUUGGCUGCACCCCCUAAGUUCGGGCGUGUUUCAUUUUCAUUCACCUCAACGUGUUGUCAUUGUGUGUACUUCUAUCUGUGUUUUUUUCUCACUCAAGAGAACAUCACCUUCCCGGGUUAUUAAAUAUUCUUCAAACCCGUGAUUUCUGCUGGCUUCCAGGAGUCCACCUGGCUGAGAUCACCACCUGAUGGGGUGUAGAUGACCCUGUUGUCCCCUGCUCCCGGCAGGGUCCGGCCGAGUUCCUGGACACACAGUCUUUCUCACAUUUAAAGGCCCUUGUCACAUCCUGUCACCCCCCCCCCCAGGCAGUGCUGCGCUGUCAUGGUGCCUCUUGGGGUGGCCGCGUGGAUUGCCCAGGGGGCCUGGGGCCAGCCCUCCUGCAGAGAAAGGAAGUGAGAUGCCGCGAGCAUGGCACUGAGGGGGUCGUUGCCUCCUGGAUGGCCCUGCUCGGCCUCGGGGGCCGGGGAGCCGCCUGGGCCCACCUCCACGGUGGUGGUGUGCCCCCCAGCAGCCUGCACACGGCCUCGCGAUUCACAGCCCACCUUCUCUGUCGGUUUUGCCCUCGGCGAGGGGUUUGGAUACGUAAAGUGUCACGAUUCAUCAGGAGACCAAGAGAUGGGUGAAAGCGGGUCUGGGGAGGCUGGACAGAGCAGGUCGCAGGCCCUGCUGUGUGACCCAGGACAGGCCUCCCACUCUGGGCCUCAGCCCCCGCGUCCUGAGGGGACUGUCCCGCGAUUAUCAGGGGCCGCGGUUUGCAGAAUAUUGGCAGGUGAAGGCGGGCUUUCUUCAGGGCCUCCCGUUGGACACCUUAAGGUCCUUCUUAGUGGGCAUUCUCUCUGCGAAGACCCUUCCAGAUGGGGAAGCAGGACAGGGACCACAGCCGAGGGGCCGGGCCGCAGAGGCGUCACCCACCAGAGCAGGCCCCCCAUCUCCUUCCUUCUCCUCCCUCCCUCUCUUUCUCCCUCUCGCCCCCUCCCCUUUCCCUCCCUCCAUCUUGAUUUCCUUGGAGCCCUCAGUGCCUGGGGCUGCAGCCACCCUCCUUGGGAUUGCAGCUACCGUGGGGAGACCCCAGGGACCCAGAGCUGCUCCUCCCAGACGGAGCCUAAGGGGCAGCAGUCCCAGCUCCGGGAUCGUGGGGGGCCCUGGAGCUGCUCUGGCGCUGGGGCCCGGAGGGGCAGAGGACUCUGUUUACCUAAUACCGAAAAAUCAUCUCCAUGGCAACGCCUUAGGAAGCGGCAGCUCGAGCUGAUAACUUCCCAAGCAGCGAAGACAAUAAAUGGAUUUUUCACAAAAC